GCCUGAGCGAGACCCCAUCUCUACUAAAAAUAGAAAGAAAUUAAUUGGCCAACUAAAAAUAUAUAUACAAAAAAUUAGCUGAGCAUGGUGGCUCAUGCCUGUAGUCCCAGCUACUCGGGAGGCUGAGGCAGGAGGAUCGCUUGAGCCCAGGAGUUUGAGUUUGCUGUGAGCUAUGCUGACGCCACAGCACUCACUCUAGCCUGGACAACAAAGUGAGACUCUGUCUCAAAAAAAAAAAGCACAAAACGAAAAUGCCUCUAGGCCCCUCGUCACUCCGCCUCUCCCCCUCCCCAAGUGUGCCAACUGGCCGCUACUCACCCUGGGGCCCCUACCUGUGUCCCUUUCUGUUACAGGGUGGAAGAGCCGUGGGUGGGCAGAGCCGGGGUGCUGGCCCUCCUAGAAGUCUGCAGCCAGGCCUCAGGCAACGUCACUGAAAUAAGCAUCUCUGAGACCGGGCAGCAGCUGCGCGUCCAGCUGGAAUUCCCUCGCCAGGAGAACCCGGAGGUGGUGGCCCUCAGGUUGGCUCACUGUGACCUUGGGACCCACCACAGCCUUCUCGUCAGGCAGCUGAUGGAGGCGUGUGCCAGGCUGCGGCAGCUCAGGUCAGCACCCGGAAGCACCGGGCCCCGGUUCCCUGGUCGAGCCCGGCGCCUACUCCAGGCCACCUGUGCCCCUGGCAGCGUCAUUUCCUUACACAGGUCACAUUCGGCCAGUGAGGGGAGAGCCCCUGGGUGGCAAAGAGGAGCUCUUGGGGGCCCUUUCCCCUCCCCGGCUGCCCCGUCUGUACGUGACAACCCCUGAGGUGUGUCCAGUCUGAAAUGUUCUGGAAUAUCCUUGGUCCUUUUCAGCUUGUCCCAGGUUAACCUCUGUGAUGACGGUGAUGCCAGCGUCCUGCUGCUGCAGAGCCUCCUGCCGUCCCUGUCUGAGCUGAAGACGUUCCGGUGGGCAGACGAGGCGCUCUCCCCGCCCCUUGCAGCCCGGCCCUUCCCCCGCCCGUCGGCCCCCAGCCCAAGGCUCGGAGGACCCUGGGUCCCGCCCUGUGGACAAGAACCACAGGUGGUUUUGAGGUGGUGUCAGGGGUGCACGGUGACAGGCACGACCUUAGCAACACUGAGCCACACGGCAAGAAACUUAUUCCCUUUUCAAUGCCCUUUCUUUGUUUUCUCUUGAAAUAAUUGCAAGCUAAUAAAAAAGCUGCAAGAAGGCUAAGANNNNNNNNNNNNNNNNNNNNNNNNNNNNNNNNNNNNNNNNNNNNNNNNNNCAGUCUGAAAUGUUCUGGAAUAUCCUUGGUCCUUUUCAGCUUGUCCCAGGUUAACCUCUGUGAUGACGGUGAUGCCAGCGUCCUGCUGCUGCAGACCCUCCUGCCGUCCCUGUCUGAGCUGAAGACGUUCCGGUGGGCAGACAAGGCGCUAUCCCCGGCCCCUUGCAGCCCUGCCCUUCCCCCACCCGUCGGCCCCCAGCCCAAG
This 1466-nucleotide long non-coding RNA is filed under the name Microcebus murinus (gray mouse lemur). Its description in RNAcentral is "lncRNA (ENSMICG00000048189.1)". The stretch from base 78 to 229 matches the Rfam family "Metazoan signal recognition particle RNA". The record is from RNAcentral. Lineage: Eukaryota; Metazoa; Chordata; Mammalia; Primates; Cheirogaleidae.